AUGAUAGUAUUUGCAUGUAUGUUUAUUUUCUUUAAUAGUUAAUAAAUUUUAUUAGAAUCUCAGUAACUAAUAUUACUAAUUAAGGAGUCUUAGAAGUAGCUAUAUUAUUAAGUAUUGGCUAAAUUUGUGCCAGCAGCCGCGGUUAUACUAAUAAUGCAAACAAAAUUUUAUUGGGUAAAGUUAGAUUGUUUUAUAUUAAAAUUAAUAUAUAUUUAUUAAGUGAAAUUUUUAAAUGUAUUAUACUUUAUUUAUUUAUAUAUUGAGGCUUUUAAAUUUCAUUUGUAAACUAGGAUUAGAUACCCUAUUAUUUGAAAUGUGAAUGUUAUUUCCUAGGUAGUAGUAGUUAUGUUCUUGAAAUCUAAAAAAUUUGGCGGUAUUUCAGUCUGUUCAGAGGAACCUGUCCUGUAAUCGAUAAUCCACGUUGGACCUUACUUUAGCUUGUUUAGUUUAUAUACCGUCGUUAUUAGAAUAUUCUAUUAGGAUAAUAAUUUUCUUUAAUUUAUUUAAAAUUUAUAUCAGAUCAAGGUGUAGCUUAUGCUAAAGUAGAGAUGGGUUACAAUAAAUUUAUUUAUACGGAUUUUAAAUUUAAAUAUUUUAAUUAAGAUGGAUUUGAUAGUAAAAUUAUAUAGAUUGUUAGUUUGAUUUUAGCUCUGAAAUAUGCACACAUCGCCCGUCGCUCUUAUUAUUAAGGUAAGAUAAGUCGUAACAUAGUAGAUGUACUGGAAAGUGUAUCUAGAAUG
RNAcentral lists this non-coding RNA (740 nucleotides) under Euprosopia sp. D HYH-2016. Lineage: Eukaryota; Metazoa; Arthropoda; Insecta; Diptera; Platystomatidae. The record is from RNAcentral.